Toxorhynchites rutilus septentrionalis is the source of this 4460-nucleotide RNA transcript. It is a transcript of the gene named sodium/potassium-transporting ATPase subunit beta-1-interacting protein, with no coding region annotated. The transcript is spliced from 7 exons. Lineage: Eukaryota; Metazoa; Arthropoda; Insecta; Diptera; Culicidae. The record is from RefSeq and is a predicted model, not a curated record.
UCCCAGUCAGUCAGUCAGUUAACACUUGCCGUCCGAAAGAGUUGUUUUCUUUGUAAGCUCGCGUAAAAUUACGAGCGGUGGUUAUCGGGCGAUGCUGGAUUGACACAUCCGUUUUGUCCGAUCGUGAAGAAGGCUGGCUUUUCACAUUCUUCAGAUCAACGCCGCUCAUGGCGGUAGUGCGACAGGAGUGCAGUUCAUGUUUAGUUACUACCUUCGAUGGUUUGGUGAAGACGAUUGGCCACAGCAUCGCUCAUGCGGUAAUUAGAAUGCGCGCGCGAGUACAUCAUUUUGAGUUAUAGUAAUUGUGCCAUCAGGUCACCGCUCUUCUAGUAAGGGGGGGGAGAGUGCAGUUCUGUUUGGUUUGAAUAAUUUCGAUUGCAAAAUUGCUCCAAAAAGGGUUUUUAUAUAAGAAUACAUCCAAUUGGAUUGGUGUUUGUGUUAAAAGUUAGUAACGCUGAUGGGGGAUAGAUGUAGUGGUCUGGUGAUGAAUCAUACAUAGUAACAUGAAUUAAGCCACCUUUGAUGCGCAAACACACAUCUACAACACACCUCGAGUUGGAGUCGGUUGGAGAAUAUAACGGUGGCGCAGCAGCGGAAACGCGUGCGUGUGUGAGUUGGUUGUUGAUAGGGAAGAAGAGCAUUCCGAAAAGUGCACAACAAAAGGAGAUGUUUGUCAGUUAAGUGUGUAUCCGAUUGAUUGGGAGAAUACACCGUGCGUUGCGUAUUUUUUGCGAAAUGCAAAUUUUGGUUAUUUUUUUUGUUUACUCGCUUAGCAGAGUGAUGCGUGCUUAGAGGGGAGAAGAGUGACACAUAAAUGUUGUGAAUUGUGAUGCAGAUGAAGCUACUAAUCCUGUAAAUUGAACAUCGACGACGAGGACGGCAACCAACGACAAAGGUCAUUGAGCGUAUUCCUCUUCUCGGCUGUUGGAUGUUUUUUUCUGUUUUGCGGAGAGUGAAAGAAAUAAUUCGCAAAGCGUGACAACGGCGCCAAGUUCUGUGCCCGACCAAAUCUUGAAUGGGAGAUAAGGCAUCCUGCAAGGACGGAUGUCUGGAAUUUUGAUGUUUUUACACUGAUGGAAUAACAACUAUGACAUGGGAUCCUGUUCGAGACGACAUUUUUUGUUGUCAAUAUGCGUUCUGCAGUUGUUAUUCGUCAUCGAACGUCAGGUGUUUGACUUCCUGGGGUACAUGUGGGCCCCGAUCCUGGUGAACUUUUUCCAUAUAAUAUUUGUGAUAUUUGGAUUCUUUGGUGCCUAUCAAUAUCGUCCAAAAUACCUAGUUACGUACUCACUUUGGAAUCUUUUGUGGAUAGGAUGGAACGCAUUUCUUAUAUGUUUUUAUUUAAAUGUAGGAAUCUUAGAUAGGGACAGCGACUUAUUAAAUUUAGGAACAGGCAGUGUGUCAUGGUUCGAAGUGAACGGUUACGGCUGCAAGCCGACCUAUCCCAUGAACAUAACCUCGGAGGAUCCGUACCGACCUGUGAGGCCGGAACGGGUCGAUGGCUGCCUGCUCGACUACCAUAUAGUGGAAAUUAUCCACUCCGGAGUGCAAUGUGCGCUAGCGAUUCUCGGUCUCUUCGGAGCCAUCUGUCUGGGGCACACGUAUCUGGAUGAAGACGAUAGCUUCGACUUUAUGGGUGGCGAUGCGAAAAGUCCACAGCACACGGCCGUGCAUCCAAUGUACGUGAGCUAUACAAGUUUACCAACCACCAAUAGCGCCACCUCGACGCAUCUCAAGCAAUCGAACGCUGCAAAAUUAGCUCCAUCAGCAGCAACCGUUAUCACAGCCAACAAUCAUAACAGUAAUAGCACUCAUUGUCUCAGUAACACAAGCGCUAAGAUCGGUGUUGUGCUCAAGUCGAUUAACGGUAGCAAGAAUCCAACUCCAUCCUCAAACACUAACACAUUACUGUCGUCAUCUUCAUCGCCAUCAUCCACCUUUACGAACUGCAACGGCAGCGGUAGCAUCGGCAACGGUAGACCCUCAUCCGCACUUGGUGGGCAAACACAUGAAGUACACGUGCCACUCCAUCAACAGCCACUUCCACAUCCACUCAGUCGAAAUUCUAGCUUUAGUAAAAUUCGCGGUGGACAGCUACGUAAGAACAGCAGCAGUAUUAGUGUGCGAUACACAGACGUGAUUCAACAGCAUCAGCAGCAAGAUGAUGAGAUAAUUCGCAACGAGGACGAUACAUUUUUCAUUCCGAAGAGCACCUCCUGCCGUAAUAACUUUGGUAUAAGCAACCCAUUCAACAACGUUUCCAGUCGAUACUAUCGCGAUGGCGAUGGUAGUAUACGAACUGAAAAUGAUGACGAUAUCGGGAGAUGUCUAAUUACCGGUUCCACACAGCAGCUUUCCCAAUCGACACCACUCAAGCGAAAUCCCUCGGUCACAUCGACCAGCACCAGUAUUGAGGGGGGCAACUACAGCAGCACUACCACAACCCCAAUGAAUGAAGCAAAUAUGAUAGCUUACGAACCAAAUUUCCCCCACGGGACGCGGCCUGAUUUGGGCUCACACCAGCACAGGAUAGCUAUUAGGCCACAGCAGAAAGUACAACCUAUACCACCACCAGUGCCACCAUUACCCCAAUUACAACACAUCCAUCAACAGCAGCAGCAGCAGCAUUUCAACAGCACCGAAAACUAUCGAAUGCCAUACCAGUACAUAACGCGGUCUCCCAAUUUGAAUCGCAUCGCCAGAAGAAACAACGCGAAUCUAAUUAAUAAUAACAACGUCAACAACAACAACAACAAUCAUCGAGUGAUGAGCCCCAAGUACUGUGAUCAAAUACGCGAUUGGGGAGGACCGCCAGGUUACCCUGGACAUGAAAACAAUAACUGCACUUCCCCACCCCCACCGAUGACGACAACGACGACGACGGCAUCAUCGACGGCCGCCGCCCCCUCCUCCACUGGUGGAGUUUACCCGGUGAUGGUAAUGCAUCGAGCAAAAUCGCAGGACCGAUUAACGCAUCGAAGCCGACGACAUCACCACCACCACAGUGGAGGAGGGGGGCGUGGCCCUUACGGUGCCCAGCAGCAGCAGCGACCUCGCUCCUUCUGCAGCAAUAACGGAGCCUAUCCGGACUAUGUGAUUGUGGAACAUCCCGACAACUAGAAAGCGGCGGCAGCAGCAGCAACGAUUUAAGCUAGUUGGAUUUUUUUUAUGAUUUGUUGUUUUUUUUGCGUCUGUUUUGCACAACUCGAUGUUAGAUGCGAAGCAGUGACGAGGGCGCCUGUUUGUCUAGCAUGGGCCAAUACACCCAGUUGGUUAUAAUACUUUGAUUACUGGCAGAACAUUUGCCAUCGACUUAUACAAGACGCAACACAUUUCGUUGAGUGCUUCCGAUUGGGGCCGAUGUGAAUGUGAAAACAUUAAAUUAAUCCAGUCGAUAGGGAAUUAUUUAAUCCUUCAGUUCAGAAUUGUCAAUGAAUACGCAAAUGAUUUUUGGUUUUCCCAUUUUGUUAUUCUGUCUCGACGAUUUUUGCAAAAAAAAAAACAAAGUGUUGAACAUUAUUUACUGAAAAGACGAAAUAUAUUAGAUAAUAACAGUAGUGAACUAACACCCAGUAGAGAAGUUUGAUUUGAUACUUUAUAUCGCGUUGUAGUUACUGUUGAAACAGUUAGAAACGUUCUUGUAGUUGUAAUACUGGUUGAUGACUAUAGUAGUGUUAAUUUUUCAACAAUUGGUGACGAUUAUUUUUGAUAGCAAGAAGGUGGUGUAGAUUUCAAGCCAAAGUGUACGCGAAAAAAACCUUACGAGAAUAGCAUUGUAAUGUUUAGAUCAUUUUUUCUUUUCUACAAACACAAUUUGGUGUACGAGAAACCGAACGAAUGACACCGCUCCCCCCAUACGCAAUGAUAGCAAUGAAAACGAAUGGCUAAUAUAUUAGCAUCAUUUCACUUAACAAUUCGUUCGGUUUGUGCUUAACAACGAGAAAUCAAAAGCGGAACAAAACAAUAAAUGAACGUAUAAUCAAUGCAUUUUUUUUGAACAAAUAAAGGAAACGUUCAUUUUCACUUUUUUACCUGAUACACACUUGUUUCAUUCCAUUUCGAUGAAGACGGUUUCACGCAAGUGAUUGUGUUCGAUGUAUGUUGAGUGUUCUGGAGAUAAUAACCGCAUGGCUUAAUAUCAUUGUGGUGCUUCCAAACAAGGCACGAGUAAUACGGUAUAGAAAGUUGUAUAUCUCGAUGGUUAGUUUGCACCUCUCGACCACUCCAUAGUGGUAACUAUUGAAGGUACUUACAAUAGGUGUUUUCAUCCUAACUAGUUUUCCUACUACUACUACUACUGCUACUACAACUGCUAUCGCAAUUUACUACCAUUCCCCCAAACUACAUGUAACAACAGAUGGAUGCUAUCAGGUACUUACAACAGUGUACAAUUGUGUUGAUUUAUUAACAAUAAUAACGAAACAUUUCUAAAUCAUUGUUGGGUUAACAAAUAGAUUAAU